AAGGGCCAUUAACCCUUUCUCUGCCGGGCACACUCAGUCCCCACGCCCCACACCUAUUGUCUCCUGUGCUAGAAGCUUUGCAGAAAACCUGGAAAGGGAAAUCCUGAAAUAAAGAAAUGGUCACACAAGUGUCUGGGAUGAAACAGCUGGCCUGUCUAUAUUCAUCCUGAGACACACGACUGCAUAUAAAUACAUGUUUAAUAAAGUAAGUUGCUAGUUUUAUGGGCAUGUGUGUGUGUGAGAGAGAGAGACAGGGCAUUUGUGCUGUAAACUUUAUCUUUGCCUGUUACUCCUAAGUCUGGAGUUAGUAAUCUUGCCUUCAUCAUUACAGGGGGAGCAUGUAAAAUAUAUCAGUAGGUGGGAGAUAAACACAUUCAUGUUAGCCGGGCUCAUCACUGUUCCUGGGAACUCCUGCUAUCUCUCUCUCGACUUUUCAGUGCCAAAGUAUGGAAUGGGAUAUAUGUGCGUAUGUGUCUUCUAUUAAAUCCAUGUCUAUAUUACUUUGCCACUAAAAAUACAAUUUUAAAAGUUAUCCUAAUUUAAAACCCUGAUAUCCUGACAGCAGUUUUCUUCCCAGCUGUAGUGCCCCCCCCCCCCUCCACUUUGGUAAACGACUCAAGUUCCAUGAGGACUUUCACUUCUUUAUUUAUAAUCACAGAAGUGAGGUGUUACUUCACACACAUACACACACAAAGAAUGAAAUAAAGAAAUGAAACUCGCUAAGCAGACAAAAACAGACAACUUUCUGCUUAGAAAACAGCCUUCUCGGUGGGAGAGGAUGAACUGCCAUGUCUAAGAGAAAGACUUGCCCCCGAAUUUGUAGGUCUGUAACUGACCAAGUUUUGUAAUUAUUAACAGGUAUUUGCCAAGUCCUAAUUGCUGAAUAUAAUGAAUUGGAACUAGACACGAAAAUAGAGCAGGACCUCUCCCCUUGAUGAGUUUUUAUUCCAGCCAUAUAAUUCUCAAUAAAACUUUUCCUGGGCUGGAUAGCAAAGGACACCUUUGGUUACCUGAAUGGACAGGUACAGGGGAAAUUAUUUGGGGGAGGGAAAAAGGAGAGAAAAGCAAGGAGAGAGAGUGUGAGUGUAAGAGAAAGCGAAGAAGCCACUCUUGAGAAAAGCUUGCCAUAAAGGAGCUAAACCCACCUGAAAUUCCUACCCACGGACACCCCUUCUCACUUCAGACUCACAUCCCCACUCAAAAUGAGAAAAUUAGAAAAGGAGGAUGGAGGACGAGCACACCAAAAAGGGAUAAAAAGAGAGAAAAGGGGAGGAAAAAAAACCUACCUGCGAAGUCUUGUUUGUAGUUUUGGCCAGAAAUGGUGAGAAGAAAAAGCAUGAAGAAGCCGCGAAGUGUGGGGGAGAAAAAGGUGGAAGCGAAGAAACAGCUCCCGGAGCAAACUGUACAAAAACCUCGCCAAGAGUGUCGGGAGGCAGGACCGUUAUUCCUGCAGAGCAGGAGAGAGACGAGAGACCCUGAAACACGCGCCACCUAUCUUUGUGGGGAGGGAUAAUUGAAGCGCCCUGAGCGUGAGCAUCAUGU
This is a long non-coding RNA of Pan troglodytes (chimpanzee), 1542 nucleotides long. RefSeq lists it as uncharacterized. The transcript is spliced from 3 exons. The record is from RefSeq and is a predicted model, not a curated record. Lineage: Eukaryota; Metazoa; Chordata; Mammalia; Primates; Hominidae.